Argiope bruennichi is the source of this 1787-nucleotide long non-coding RNA. RefSeq lists it as uncharacterized. The record is from RefSeq and is a predicted model, not a curated record. The transcript is spliced from 3 exons. NCBI's taxonomy places the organism in Eukaryota, Metazoa, Arthropoda, Arachnida, Araneae, Araneidae.
GUGAUAGCAGCUAGUGAGGAGAUGCAGCUGUACUAGAAUUGAAACUUCUGAAGGCGAUUACGAACCAAUUAACGGUAUCUAAUUACAGAACUAAUAUUAUGAUGCCAUAUUGUUUGUUUCUAAUUAUCAGAAAUAUCCUAACUAUGAUACAAUGGAUCGUUUUGUACUCGCUUGCAGAAACUCCGAAGUUGUGUGGUUUUCUGAAUCGGAAUUGCAAAAUGGCGAAUGAAGAAACAUAAGCUGAUGUUAUGAUUCCAUUGUUAUUGGAUUCGCUGUUCGUCCAGCUGGUACAGACAUAACCGGACGUCAUCAGUAUGUCCUAACUGGCCAAUCUUUGCUAAAUAAUUCCAAUGACUCUAUUGGGGUAAGAGGUCAAAAAUGCGAGUAAUCCUUAUUGGACUGUCCGAUGAAAUUAUUUUCGGAUUUAUAAAGUGUUCACAUAACAUUUGAGACCAAUGUAUAUAUUGUCCAUAUGUAGUACCGUUGGCAGUAGAGAUUCCGAAUUUGUUUUUUGAAAAAAAUAAGCUGAUGUUAUGAUUCCAUUGUUAAUUCUUUCUGAAACGUUUAUAGUUAUCAGAAAUAUCCGACUGUUGGCAGUAGAGAUUCCGGAUUUGGUUUUUGAAAAAAAUAAGCUGAUGUUAUGAUUCCAUUGUUAAUUCUUUCUGAAACGUUUAUAGUUAUCAGAAAUAUCCGACUGUUGGCAGUAGAGAUUCCGGAUUUGGUUUUUGAAAAAAAGAAGCUGAUGUUAUGAUUCCAUUGUUAAUUCUUUCUGAAACGUUUAUAGUUAUCAGAAAUAUCCGACAAUUGUCAGUAGAGAUUCAGGAUUUGUUUUUUGAAAAAAAUAAGCUGAUGUUAUGAUUCCAUUGUUAAUUCUUUCUGAAACGUUUAUAGUUAUCAGAAAUAUCCGGCAAUUGUCAGUCGAGAUUUCGGAUUUGUUUUUUGAAAAAAAUAAGCUGAUGUUAUGAUUCCAUUGUUAAUUCUUUCUUAAACGUUUAUAGUUAUCAGAAAUAUCCGGCAAUUGUCAGUCGAGAUGUCGGAUUUGUUUUUUGAAAAAAAUAUGCUGAUGUUAUGAUUCCAUUGUUAAUUCUUUCUGAAACGUUUAUAGUUAUCAGAAAUAUCCGGCAAUUGUCAGUCGAGAUGUCGGAUUUGUUUUUUGAAAAAAAUAAGCUGAUGUUAUGAUUCCAUUGUUAAUUAUUUCUGAAAUGCUUAUAGUUAUCAGAAAUAUCCGACAAUUGUCAUUUGAGAUUCCGGAUUUGUUUUUUGAAGGGAAAAAAAAAUAAGCUGAUAUUAUGAUUCCAUUGUUAAUUAUUUCUGAAACAUUUAUAGUUAUCAGAAAUAUCUUGACCGUUGGCAGUAGAGAUUCCGAAUUUGUUUUUUGAAGGAAAAAAAAAUAAAUAAGCUGAUGUUAUGAUUCCAUUGUUAAUUAUUUCUGAAACUAAUAGUUAUCAGAAAUAUCCUGAUCACUGACUAUAAGUGACUGCAAAAACUUCGAAGUUGUUUUCUGAAUGUAAAAAGGCAUUGCAGAGAAAGGAAGAAGGAAUACGUCAUAUGUUUGUCGAGCGAGUGAAGGAGGAAGAAGCUGAAUUGAUAGAUGCUUUGAGAGAACAUGCAUAGUUUGGUGGUUUGAAGAAACAGCAUGCAGAAGAGAAGAAAAAUUGGAAGAAGACAGAAAGAAAUUAGAUGAAGACAUUAUGAAUUUUCUUUAAAAACUGGGAAUUAAAAUUUUUCAAUCUAAAAAUUGUUGAUUUCUUAAUACAUUGUGAGAAUAAAAGAUAGUGGCCUCGCUC